ACUCUUAUGAUAAAAACGUAAGACGUCUUACUAAUAGACCCAAAGAUCUUUUGGUUUCUCUGUCAAAAUAAGCCUGAAGUAGAUAAACCUCUGUCUAAUAACUACUGUCUAAUAUUUUAUCUUAUUUGGAAAUGAUCUAGAGACUCCAUAAAUUUCUAUCAUUCAGCUGAACUUAAUAAAACUUGAAGGUGUCAAGUAACCAAAGGUUGUGAAGUUCGGUCCAUACACCAGAACACCUAAUUGUUGUUCAAAAGUUCACCCAGCCCUUUCCUCUUACUGAUAUCUAUUUCGUUGACUUGUUUGCAAUAAUUGAGGGCUUCUGCCAGGAGCUCGAUUGAGCCCACGGCAGCCCUGGAAAGCCGGUUUCCACUGUGUGGUUCCAGGACCUUGAGAAGAGACAUUGGUGUGGUGCUGGGCAAAGAUGGUGUGGUGCCCGGCGUCAGCUGGGCAAAGAUGGUGUGGUGCCCGGCGUCAGGAGCCACAGGGAAGCGCUCCGAGUAGCCUUCCAUGCGGGCGAACAUGGAAAUGCGCCCUUGAAAACCUUGAGAGCCGAAACCCUUGCUUCUCUCCAAGCUGCUGCUUCUAGCGGGGAAGCCAGUGUCUUCGUGAGUUUGAGCCGCGGGCCCAGAGCGCUAGGGUGUGUGCUGAAAGCCAAGCCAAGAAGCUGAGGUUUGGAGAGUUGAGAGAGGAGCCAGGACGUGAGUGAAGCAGGAAGUUGCCCCUAGCCAGGGAGGGGGGGAAGUGGCUGUGUGAGAGGGGCCCCAGGGUGGCUGGCAGGCGGCGGGCUGGCAGAGGCCGGCAGUGCCAAGGCUUGGCUGGAGUGGAGAUGCAGCUGGGGCUGGCGUCGAGGGCCCUGAGAAGCCGGUGUGUCGGGCCCGGAGGGCAGUGUGUGCGGAGGCGGGGCCUGGGCAAAGCCCAGGCGGCAGAGCUUCCCAGGGCUGACCCAGUGGCAAUGCCCUCCAUCUGAGUCACUAUAAUACAUAAGGACCCCAGUCACCGAACAUCAGGACCCUGUGGUCCUGACCUGCCUCACACAUGACACGGGGAUCUCCACCCAGUGAUUCUUCAAUGACCAGGUUCUAUGGCUCAUGGAGAGGAUGAAGCUGUCCCAGGACAACAGCAACCUCACCAUAGACCCCAUCAGGAGGAAGGAUGCUGGUGUGAUUAUCACUGAGAGGCCUCCAACUGGAUCAGUUCCAGCAGAAGUGACAUCCUCAAGCUUGAUGUAAAAUAUGAGUCUUGGCCUCUGGUUCUCUUCUCUUCCUCUAUGUUAAACUUUGAAGAUAUUUUUUUUCUUAUCUGUAAAAUGAUGAAUCACUUUUCAAGUACAGUUGUAAUAGUCAAUGAUGAAGGUGUAAAUUCUAUAGAAGACUUGCAUUAGGUCAAUAAAUGCUCAACAAUGUGA
This is a non-coding RNA of Equus caballus (horse), 1405 nucleotides long. Lineage: Eukaryota; Metazoa; Chordata; Mammalia; Perissodactyla; Equidae. The record is from RefSeq and is a predicted model, not a curated record.